ACUCCUACGGGAGGCAGCAGUAGGGAAUAUUGGGCAAUGGAGGCAACUCUGACCCAGCCAUGCCGCGUGAAGGAUGACUGUCCUAUGGAUUGUAAACUUCUUUUGUUAGGGACGAAACCCUUGGAUUCAUCCGAGGCUGACGGUACCUAAAGAAUAAGCACCGGCUAACUCCGUGCCAGCAGCCGCGGUAAU
RNAcentral lists this ribosomal RNA (192 nucleotides) under uncultured bacterium. RNAcentral's name for it is "partial 16S ribosomal RNA". It matches the Rfam family "Bacterial small subunit ribosomal RNA", at positions 335 to 524 of the family's 1533-position model. The record is from RNAcentral.